AGUAGAAUUGAUGGGCUACAUGGUAACAGUACGUUUAACUUUUGAGGAACUGUCAAAACUGUUUUCCAAAGUGGCUACAUCAUUAUACAUCCCCACUAUAAAU
RNAcentral lists this microRNA precursor (103 nucleotides) under Marmota monax (woodchuck). The record is from RNAcentral. Lineage: Eukaryota; Metazoa; Chordata; Mammalia; Rodentia; Sciuridae.